AUGAACUCUGCCACCCAUACAACUCAGCUUGCAACCACCCCUGGCCACAACCAGUUUCCCCACACUGAGGUGAAUGUUGGACAUUACUAUUUUAGACAUUACGACCUAUUCUGAAAUUCCAGAUCAAUUUAUCUGAGAAACUCUGAUGUUCUAGGGCAAUUUAACUGGAAAAGAUCAGCUGGAGUCAUGUGUCAUUUCAAUCAACAACUGUUUAAAAGGAAGGGGCAUCAAAACUAAUAGUAUCAAAUUAUUUAUAAGGGUUGUAUACUGGUUCCUCCAAGCAUCUCUCCUUCACAACAUCACUCCUUUCAAGAGCUGCUUCUUUUUUUCUAAUUUAGCUCAGGAAUUUAGAUGUUCCUACAUAACGGGCCAUCCAGUAUUCACCCACACCACUUUUUGUAGGAAUCCAUAUGGAGCCACUACCACCAUCCCUGCUCUCCUACUGCAUAACCCAACAGGCCAAAGUGCAGUGCUCACACCUGUAAUCCGAGUGCUUUGGGAGGCCAUAGAGGAAGAUCAUUUGAGGCUAGAAGCCUGAGACCAGCUUGGGCAACAUAGUGAGACCUCAUUUCUACACAAAAGUGUAAAACAAAAGGGGACAUGGUGAUGCAUACCUGUAGUCCUAGCUAUUCAGCAGGCUGAGGUAAGAAGAUCACUUGAGUCCAGGAGAUUUGAGGCUGAAGUGAGCUAGAUUACGCCACUGCGCUCUAGUCUGGGCAGCAGAGAGAGACUCCAUCUCUAAAAAGACAGAUAAGAAGAAAGGAGAUGGAGGAGGAGGAGAAUACUGCUUCUUCCUAGACCCAAAGUAAAAAGGAUUUUAGUCUCAUGUUGAUGAGAAAGACACUGAUAUUUAAUUAAGCAAUAUAAAAAGGAUUGUUUUAGAACAGAGAAUUAAAGAGAAAGUAAAAUUAACAUUGAGAUAGGAGGACUGAAGACAUCAACUGACUUCCAAUCCCAAUGAAGAGGAGAAAAAGAUACAACUAUAUAGGUGGUAUAUCUACUUAUCACAGAAGAAGCCUUUUGACAGCAAAAUAGAAUUCAUACCUCUUAGGUUUUAAAAUUCCUAUGUAUGCUGUAGCAAAUAACCAUAAUUGGGGUGGCUUAAAGUAACAGGUGUUUAUUCUUUUCCAGUACUGGAAACCAGGAAUCUGAGAUCAAGGUGAGGGCUGGGCUGAGCUCCCCCUGGAAGCUCUAGGGGAGGAUCUUUCCCUCCUCUUCCAGCUCUUGGUGGCUCCAG
This 1237-nucleotide long non-coding RNA is filed under the name Pan troglodytes (chimpanzee). RNAcentral describes it as "lincRNA". Lineage: Eukaryota; Metazoa; Chordata; Mammalia; Primates; Hominidae. The record is from RNAcentral.